Molecule: ribosomal RNA, 165 nt
Filed under: uncultured bacterium
Lineage: Bacteria
Description: partial 16S rRNA
Rfam family: Bacterial small subunit ribosomal RNA
Source: RNAcentral
UAGGGAAUCUUCGGCAAUGGACGAAAGUCUGACCGAGCAACGCCGCGUGAGUGAAGAAGGUUUUCGGAUCGUAAAACUCUGUUGGUGGAGAAGAACGUUGGUGAGAGUGGAAAGCUCAUCAAGUGACGGUAACUACCCAGAAAGGGACGGCUAACUACGUGCCAG